CCUACGGGUGGCUGCAGUGGGGAAUAUUGCACAAUGGGGGAAACCCUGAUGCAGCGACGCCGCGUGAGUGAAGAAGUAUUUCGGUAUGUAAAGCUCUAUCAGCAGGGAAGAAAAUGACGGUACCUGAUUAAGAAGCCCCGGCUAACUACGUGCCAGCAGCCGCGGUAAUACGUAGGGGGCAAGCGUUAUCCGGAUUUACUGGGUGUAAAGGGAGCGUAGACGGCAGCACAAGUCUGAGGUGAAAUGCCGGGGCGUAACCCUGGAAUUGCUUUUGGAACUGUGCAGCUAGAGUGCAGUAGAGGGAAGUGGAAUGCCGAGUGUAGCGGUGAAAUGCGUAGAUAUUAGGCGGAACACCAGUGGCGAAGGCGGCUUACUGGACUGUAACUGACGUUGAGGCUCGAAAGCGUGGGGAGCAAACAGGAUUAGAUACCCGAGUAGUC
RNAcentral lists this ribosomal RNA (440 nucleotides) under uncultured bacterium. Its description in RNAcentral is "partial 16S ribosomal RNA". It matches the Rfam family "Bacterial small subunit ribosomal RNA", at positions 338 to 795 of the family's 1533-position model. The record is from RNAcentral.